Molecule: long non-coding RNA, 432 nt
Organism: Clupea harengus (Atlantic herring)
Lineage: Eukaryota; Metazoa; Chordata; Actinopteri; Clupeiformes; Clupeidae
Source: Ensembl
UGCAACUCAUGUUUGGUUAUUUCUGUACACACAGAUUCUGAAUGCAGAAGAAAAAGUAGAUACAUUAUCAGUACAUGUGCUGCUGUGUGAGCUGAGUGUCUGAGGGGAGUAUUGAGUGUGUGAGGUGAGUAUUGAGUGUGUGAGGUGAGUAUUGAGUGUGUGAAGGGAGUAUUGAGUGUGUGAGGUGAGUAUUGAGUGUGUGAGGUGAGCAUUGAGUCUGUGAGGGGAGCAUUGAGUGUGUGAGCUGAUUGUCUAAGGGGAGUAUUGUGAUGAGUGUGUCGGCUGACUGUGUGAGGUGGGUAUUGAGUUUUACAAAUGAAGGUGCUUUUAAAUGCAGCAUAUCUUGUGGUGUGCAGUUCCUCUCUCUAACACAUCAGCUGAGGACUUUGGGGACUUCCCUGAGGCAGAGAGUUGCCACCAUGUGGCCUACAU